Molecule: non-coding RNA, 51 nt
Filed under: unclassified sequences
Description: Mu-gpT-DE RNA
Rfam family: Mu-gpT-DE RNA
Source: Rfam by way of RNAcentral
CCCUGACAGUUGCAUGAUGCGACUGACAAACCCAGACAGGAGAAUAACAUG